RNAcentral lists this ribosomal RNA (396 nucleotides) under uncultured bacterium. RNAcentral's name for it is "bacterial SSU rRNA". It matches the Rfam family "Bacterial small subunit ribosomal RNA", at positions 30 to 430 of the family's 1533-position model. The record is from RNAcentral.
AUUGAACGCUGGCGGCAUGCCUUACACAUGCAAGUCGAACGGCAGCGGACCUUCGGGUGCCGGCGAGUGGCGAACGGGUGAGUAAUAUAUCGGAACGUACCUUUCAGUGGGGGAUAACGUAGCGAAAGUUACGCUAAUACCGCAUAUUCUGUGAGCAGGAAAGCAGGGGAUCGCAAGACCUUGCGCUGAUUGAGCGGCCGAUAUCAGAUUAGCUAGUUGGUGAGGUAAAGGCUCACCAAGGCGACGAUCUGUAGCGGGUCUGAGAGGAUGAUCCGCCACACUGGAACUGAGACACGGUCCAGACUCCUACGGGAGGCAGCAGUGGGGAAUUUUGGACAAUGGGCGCAAGCCUGAUCCAGCCAUGCCGCGUGAGUGAAGAAGGCCUCGGUUGUAAGG